CCUACGGGCGGCAGCAGUGGGGAAUAUUGCACAAUGGGCGCAAGCCUGAUGCAGCCAUGCCGCGUGUAUGAAGAAGGCCUUCGGGUUGUAAAGUACUUUCAGCGAGGAGGAAGGCAUUAAGGUUAAUAACCUUAGUGAUUGACGUUACUCGCAGAAGAAGCACCGGCUAACUCCGUGCCAGCAGCCGCGGUAAUACGGAGGGUGCAAGCGUUAAUCGGAAUUACUGGGCGUAAAGCGCACGCAGGCGGUCUGUUAAGUCAGAUGUGAAAUCCCCGGGCUCAACCUGGGAACUGCAUUUGAAACUGGCAGGCUUGAGUCUUGUAGAGGGGGGUAGAAUUCCAGGUGUAGCGGUGAAAUGCGUAGAGAUCUGGAGGAAUACCGGUGGCGAAGGCGGCCCCCUGACAAAGACUGACGCUCGGGUGCGAAAGCGUGGGGAGCAAACAGGAUUAGAUACCCCGGUAGUC
This 464-nucleotide ribosomal RNA is filed under the name uncultured bacterium. RNAcentral describes it as "bacterial SSU rRNA". It matches the Rfam family "Bacterial small subunit ribosomal RNA", at positions 338 to 795 of the family's 1533-position model. The record is from RNAcentral.